GAAUAGAGCAUAAAUGCAGUACGUAAAAGAAUACAGUUCGGUUCCUCUCCUUGCCUAGGGGGAAUUAAAAUUCAGAUGUCUCCCUAGAAAUACAGUUACAGCAAUAACUGCCUAUUCCUUUUAUUGUUUUGCCUCGGUACAGGAAAUAAAGAUUUCUUGGGCCACGAGGAGGGGAAAAGAGUAAGUAUAAUUUUUGCAGUGUUCUUUCUCCUAGGGCAAACUUAACUAGAGUGCUGUGCUUUGGUGAGAUCUCUGCAGAGAUUCGGAUAUGAUGGGUGGGAUGUGCCAGAGAACAACAUCAGUCUGUUACCCUCUGAUGAAAGUGCUCUCCUGGCUCCUGGGAAUCUUCAGAGAGCAACAGAACUUGGUUCUGUUGCACAAAUGCUCUGACCAUUGAGUACUUGAAUAACCAUUGCAUUACAAAAUAAAUGGGUGUAUCUGGUGUGACUGAUGGAUUUGAGUGCCUUGACUUGAAGGCGUAGAGCACAAGACUGCAUUGCCCUCAUUACUCUGAUAAAAGCUGAGGUGGCAGAAAGCGUGGGGUAGAGUCUUUCAUCCUAACAUAAAAAGUCCAUCUUUCACUGAGAAUGCCCACUAUUGUCUUCAAGACUGAAGUUCAACUUCUGCAAGACUGCCUUCCUCAGCUGGAAUUUCCUGUGGGGAGUUUACUGAGAAGUGAAGAGCUCAUUCUCUGCAAGUGGAGUCCCACUGUGCAUCCUGGAAGAACUAUGACCAGGAGCUCCUGUGAUGUGACUGCCUUCAUUUGUCACGGUGGGAGAUUGGUAACCAACAGUGGAAAAGUAUUCUGUCAAAGGAGUACCUUUAUGGAGAGGAAUAUGAGCCUGGGGAAGGUACAGUGUCACCACUUCCAAGACAGAACUCUGCAUGCUUGCUUUCCUUUAUUUUUCCUCUGUAAGAAUGACACUUUAUUUAUUCCUUGUGCUGUAUAUUUAUAAUGAGGUCCCGUGGCUUACCACAGUCAUCCUUUCUCUCGGCUAUAAGGAAUUAGUUCUGCUGUUGUGUAACUGUUAGGCCAAACAUCUCUGUAAAUUAGUACUCUGAAGAUGAUGGCAGUUGAAUUUGCUUACAAGUCUGAAAACAAUGUAUUUUUCUCAGUGUAUUUCUAAAUAUGGGAUUUGUCAGGCACUGAGAUCUGAAAAUAUACUCUAUCUAUAGUGCUUUAUACAAUGAUUCUGUUACACUACUGUUACCAGCAUGUUAAAAGGAGCUGCCUGAUUUGAAGCACAGAUGUUUUGAUUCAGUGUAUUUAUGUCUACAAAGUGUCCUGGGAGUUCUGUGUUUACACCAUGUUCAAUUGGUUUGCCUAAUACUCUGAAAAUAAAUUAGUGAAUGCAAAUCUGAAUCUAUCCUACCAGAAAUAAAAGUGAAUAAAUUGUUAGUCUGUUUAAUUUUUAGUCUUUAGUGUCUGGGCAGUACUACCUGCAGAUUUUUUUGAAUGCCAGUCACUAAAUAUUAGAAAAUUGUACAAGAAUUUUAGUAAUACAUCUCAUACAGAAAUGCCUAGGUUUGUGAAGCAUGUAGUAUUGACCUAUAUGUAUUUUCCAAGCUUAUGAACUUUACAGCAAAGAAC
Gallus gallus (chicken) is the source of this 1591-nucleotide long non-coding RNA. Lineage: Eukaryota; Metazoa; Chordata; Aves; Galliformes; Phasianidae. The record is from Ensembl.